AUUCCAGCUCCAAUAGCGUAUAUUAAAGUUGCUGCAGUUAAAAAGCUCGUAGUUGGAUUUGUGGCGCGGUCGUCCGGCGGGGCUCUUUUACUAGGGCCGUUUGUCUGGUUUUCGACCGCACCAUUCUCGGGUAGCGUGUGGCUGGCAUUAGGUUGUCGGCCUCUUCGCGCCCGUCGUUUACUGUGAAAAAAUUAGAGUGUUCAAAGCAGGCUUAGGCCGUUGGAUACAUUAGCAUGGAAUAAUGAGAUAGGGCCACGACGGUCUAUUUUGUUGGUUUGCACGUUGUGGUAAUGAUUAACGGGAACGGUUGGGGGUAUUCGUAUUCAAUUGUCAGAGGUGAAAUUCUUGGAUUUAUGGAAGACGAACUACUGCGAAAGCAUUUACCAAGGAUGUUUUCAUUA
Molecule: ribosomal RNA, 401 nt
Filed under: Phaeophyceae sp.
Lineage: Eukaryota; Phaeophyceae
Description: partial small subunit ribosomal RNA
Rfam family: Eukaryotic small subunit ribosomal RNA
Source: RNAcentral